Molecule: transfer RNA, 67 nt
Filed under: Babylonia zeylanica
Lineage: Eukaryota; Metazoa; Mollusca; Gastropoda; Neogastropoda; Buccinidae
Description: tRNA-Glu
Source: RNAcentral
AUUUCUGUGGUGUAUAAUAGCACACUAAAUUUUCAUUUUAGCAGAAUAAAAGCAGUUUAUCAGAAAU